Carassius gibelio (silver crucian carp) is the source of this 480-nucleotide non-coding RNA. Lineage: Eukaryota; Metazoa; Chordata; Actinopteri; Cypriniformes; Cyprinidae. The record is from the annotation of a RefSeq genome assembly.
GUGUUUGCAUAUUGAUCAGAUGCUUCAGUGCUCUGAGAGUGUUUAUAGUGCUGUGAGUUUAACACUUCAUCACUGACACACACAACAAUCUUCAUCAACAUGACCUUCAUCAUCAUCUUCAUCUGGACUCUCACAGCGUUUGCUCAAGAGUGUAGAGGACAGAUCAGCGUCACUCAGAGUCCCUCAACGACAGCAGCUCAACCAGGAGAAACAGUGAAGAUCAGCUGUAGAACCAGCAGAGAUGUGUAUUACAGUAGCGUUUAUUAUUUCAGCUGGUACUUACAGAAACCUGGAGAAACUCCUAAACUCUUGAUUUUUUGGGCAAGCACCCUCCAGUCAGGAACUCCAUCUAGAUUCAGUGGCAGUGGAUCUAACAGUGAUUUCACUCUGACCAUCAGUGGAGUCCAGACUGAAGAUGCUGGACAUUAUUACUGUCAGAGUUUCCACUACAUCAACAGUAACUAUGUGUUCACACAGUGA